RNAcentral lists this ribosomal RNA (859 nucleotides) under bacterium IARFR1447. Its description in RNAcentral is "bacterial SSU rRNA". It matches the Rfam family "Bacterial small subunit ribosomal RNA", at positions 67 to 932 of the family's 1533-position model. The record is from RNAcentral.
CGGGAUCCCAGGAGCUUGCUCCUGGGUGAGAGUGGCGAACGGGUGAGUAAUGCGUGACCGACCUGCCCCAUACACCGGAAUAGCUCCUGGAAACGGGUGGUAAUGCCGGAUGCUCCAGUUGACCGCAUGGUCCUCUGGGAAAGAUUCAGCGGUAUGGGAUGGGGUCGCGUCCUAUCAGCUUGAUGGCGGGGUAACGGCCCACCAUGGCUUCGACGGGUAGCCGGCCUGAGAGGGCGACCGGCCACAUUGGGACUGAGAUACGGCCCAGACUCCUACGGGAGGCAGCAGUGGGGAAUAUUGCACAAUGGGCGCAAGCCUGAUGCAGCGACGCCGCGUGCGGGAUGACGGCCUUCGGGUUGUAAACCGCUUUUGACUGGGAGCAAGCCCUUCGGGGUGAGUGUACCUUUCGAAUAAGCACCGGCUAACUACGUGCCAGCAGCCGCGGUAAUACGUAGGGUGCAAGCGUUAUCCGGAAUUAUUGGGCGUAAAGGGCUCGUAGGCGGUUCGUCGCGUCCGGUGUGAAAGUCCAUCGCUUAACGGUGGAUCCGCGCCGGGUACGGGCGGGCUUGAGUGCGGUAGGGGAGACUGGAAUUCCCGGUGUAACGGUGGAAUGUGUAGAUAUCGGGAAGAACACCAAUGGCGAAGGCAGGUCUCUGGGCCGUCACUGACGCUGAGGAGCGAAAGCGUGGGGAGCGAACAGGAUUAGAUACCCUGGUAGUCCACGCCGUAAACGGUGGAUGCUGGAUGUGGGGACCAUUCCACGGUCUCCGUGUCGGAGCCAACGCGUUAAGCAUCCCGCCUGGGGAGUACGGCCGCAAGGCUAAAACUCAAAGAAAUUGACGGGGGCCCGCACAAGCGG